UUAAAAUAUCCAAACUAUAUGAAGAGCUCAACCACAAUCCUAGAAAAAGUUAUUUAGUUCAUCAUAUUUUCAGCAAACAUCAUUCACAAGAAAGAAACCAUAAACACAACAAAAGAAAGUGAAAGAAGAAUAAAUCUAAAGAGAGAAACAAAUUUCUGUAGCGUUUAUGAGCCUUGAUCUUCCUUUCUUUCUCCUCCUUUCUUCCUUUGUUUAUGAUUUUUCUUUCCUCUCAAAACUGCUUUAAACUCCCCUCUGUUGAAAACCCACUUGAAAUGGC
RNAcentral lists this long non-coding RNA (277 nucleotides) under Theobroma cacao (cacao). RNAcentral describes it as "long non-coding RNA (TCAC_LNC002608)". The record is from RNAcentral. Lineage: Eukaryota; Viridiplantae; Streptophyta; Magnoliopsida; Malvales; Malvaceae.